This 391-nucleotide ribosomal RNA is filed under the name Triparma sp. Its description in RNAcentral is "partial small subunit ribosomal RNA". It matches the Rfam family "Eukaryotic small subunit ribosomal RNA", at positions 582 to 975 of the family's 1831-position model. Lineage: Eukaryota; Bolidophyceae; Parmales; Triparmaceae. The record is from RNAcentral.
AUUCCAGCUCCAAUAGCGUAUAUUAAAGUUGUUGCAGUUAAAAAGCUCGUAGUUGGAUUUCUGGUGAGUUCGUUUGGCCGGCCGUAAAGGUCUGUGCCGAAAUGUUAUUCGCCAUCCUUGGUGUAAUCUUGUCCGCCAUUAAGUUGUGUGGGCUUGAGGAUGCCAUCGUUUACUGUGAAAAAAUUAGAGUGUUCAAAGCAGGCUUAUGCCGUUGAAUACAUUAGCAUGGAAUAAUAAGAUAGGACCCUGGUACUAUUUUGUUGGUUUGCGUACCUAGGUAAUGAUUAAUAGGGACAGCUGGGGGUAUUUGUAUUCCGUUGUCAGAGGUGAAAUUCUUGGAUUUACGGGAGACAAACUACUGCGAAAGCAUUUACCAAGGAUGUUUUCAUCG